RNAcentral lists this ribosomal RNA (551 nucleotides) under fungal endophyte. RNAcentral's name for it is "eukaryotic LSU rRNA". The stretch from base 179 to 332 matches the Rfam family "5.8S ribosomal RNA". The record is from RNAcentral. Lineage: Eukaryota; Fungi.
UCUAUACCCUUUGUGAACAUACCUACAACUGUUGCUUCGGCGGGUAGGCCGUCCCCUGAAAAGGACGCCUCCCGGCCCGGACCGGACCCCCCGUGGGGCCGGACUCGGCGCCCGCCGGAGGAUAACCAAACGCUAUUUUAACGACGUUUCUUCUGAGUGGCAUAAGCAAAAUAAUCAAAACUUUUAACAACGGAUCUCUUGGUUCUGGCAUCGAUGAAGAACGCAGCGAAAUGCGAUAAGUAAUGUGAAUUGCAGAAUUCAGUGAAUCAUCGAAUCUUUGAACGCACAUUGCGCCCGCCAGCAUUCUGGCGGGCAUGCCUGUUCGAGCGUCAUUUCAACCCUCAAGCUCUGCUUGGUGUUGGGGCUCUACGGUCGACGUAGGCCCUCAAAGGUAGUGGCGGACCCUCCCGGAGCCUCCUUUGCGUAGUAACAUUUCGUCUCGCACUGGGAUCCGGAGGGACUCUUGCCGUAAAACCCCCCAAUUUUUCAAGGUUGACCUCGGAUCAGGUAGGAAUACCCGCUGAACUUAAGCAUAUCAAUAAGCGGAGGAA